This 464-nucleotide ribosomal RNA is filed under the name uncultured bacterium. Its description in RNAcentral is "partial 16S ribosomal RNA". It matches the Rfam family "Bacterial small subunit ribosomal RNA", at positions 338 to 795 of the family's 1533-position model. The record is from RNAcentral.
CCUACGGGAGGCAGCAGUGGGGAAUAUUGCGCAAUGGGCGAAAGCCUGACGCAGCGACGCCGCGUGAGGGAUGAAGGUCUUCGGAUCGUAAACCUCUGUCAGCAGGGAAGAACGGUCACUGUGCUAAUCAGCAGUGAAUUGACGGUACCUGCAAAGGAAGCACCGGCUAACUCCGUGCCAGCAGCCGCGGUAAUACGGAGGGUGCGAGGGUUAAUCGGAAUUACUGGGCGUAAGGCGCUCGUAGGCGGUAUGUCAAGUCAAGGGUGAAAUCCCCGCGCUCAACGUGGGAACUGCCUUUGAAACGGGCAAACUGGAGUGUGUGAGAGGAUAGUGGAAGUCCGGGUGUAGGAGUGAAAGCCGUAGAUAUCUGGAGGAACAUCAGUGGCGAAGGCGACUAUCUGGCACAUAACUGACGCUGAGGAGCGAAAGCGUGGGUAGCAAACAGGAUUAGAUACCCGGUAGUC